Molecule: transfer RNA, 63 nt
Filed under: Malachiinae sp. GENSP01
Lineage: Eukaryota; Metazoa; Arthropoda; Insecta; Coleoptera; Melyridae
Description: tRNA-Pro
Source: RNAcentral
CAGAAAAUAGUUUAAUAAAAUAUUAAUUUUGGAGAUUAAAGAUAAAGAAUUCUUUUUUUCUGA